UGGGGAAUUUUGGACAAUGGGCGAAAGCCUGAUCCAGCAAUGCCGCGUGUGUGAAGAAGGCCUUCGGGUUGUAAAGCACUUUUGUCCGGAAAGAAAUCCUUGGCUCUAAUACAGUCGGGGGAUGACGGUACCGGAAGAAUAAGCACCGGCUAACUACGUGCCAGCAGCCGCGGUAAUACGUAGGGUGCAAGCGUUAAUCGGAAUUACUGGGCGUAAAGCGUGCGCAGGCGGUUUGCUAAGACCGAUGUGAAAUCCCCGGGCUCAACCUGGGAACUGCAUUGGUGACUGGCAGGCUAGAGUAUGGCAGAGGGGGGUAGAAUUCCACGUGUAGCAGUGAAAUGCGUAGAGAUGUGGAGGAAUACCGAUGGCGGAGGCAGCCCCCUGGGCCAAUACUGACGCUCAUGCACGAAAGCGUGGGGAGCAAACAGGAUUAGAUACCCUGGUAGUCCACGCCCUAAACGGUGUCAACUAGUUGUUGGGGAUUCAUUUUCCUUAGUAACGUAGCUAACGCGUGAAGUUGACCGCCUGGGGGAGUACGGUCGCAAGAUUAAAGCUUAAAUGAAUUGACGGGGUCAUAGCUGUUUCCU
This 587-nucleotide ribosomal RNA is filed under the name uncultured bacterium. Its description in RNAcentral is "partial 16S ribosomal RNA". It matches the Rfam family "Bacterial small subunit ribosomal RNA", at positions 355 to 1375 of the family's 1533-position model. The record is from RNAcentral.